CCCUUAGACGUUCUGGGCCGCACGCGCGCUACACUGACGAAGGCAACGAGCUUUCCUUUACCGAAAGGUACGGGUAAUCUUUUGAAACUUCGUCGUGCUGGGGAUAGAUCCUUGCAAUUUUUGAUCUUAAACGAGGAAUGCCUAGUAAGCGCAAGUCAUCAACUUGCGUUGAUUACGUCCCUGCCCUUUGUACACACCGCCCGUCGCUACUACCGAUUGAAUGGUUUAGUGAGGCCUUCGGAUCCGCGACUCGUUUGUGGAGAAGUUGGACAAACUCAGUCAUUUAGAGGAAGUAAAANUCGUANCA
RNAcentral lists this ribosomal RNA (307 nucleotides) under uncultured eukaryote. RNAcentral's name for it is "partial 18S ribosomal RNA". It matches the Rfam family "Eukaryotic small subunit ribosomal RNA", at positions 1470 to 1796 of the family's 1831-position model. The record is from RNAcentral.